CAUGCAGGCGGUUACAUAAGUCAGGUGUGAAAUCCCUGAGCUUAACUUAGGAAUUGCAUUCGAUACUGGAAAGCUAGAGUAUGGGAGAGGAUGGUAGAAUUCCAGGUGUAGCGGUGAAAUGCGUAGAGAUCUGGAGGAAUACCGAUGGCGAAGGCAGCCAUCUGGCCUAAUACUGACGCUGAGGUACGAAAGCAUGGGGAGCAAACAGGAUUAGAUACCCCUGUA
RNAcentral lists this ribosomal RNA (225 nucleotides) under uncultured Acinetobacter sp. Its description in RNAcentral is "partial 16S ribosomal RNA". It matches the Rfam family "Bacterial small subunit ribosomal RNA", at positions 568 to 792 of the family's 1533-position model. The record is from RNAcentral. Lineage: Bacteria; Pseudomonadati; Pseudomonadota; Gammaproteobacteria; Moraxellales; Moraxellaceae.